Molecule: transfer RNA, 94 nt
Filed under: Tilletia indica
Lineage: Eukaryota; Fungi; Basidiomycota; Exobasidiomycetes; Tilletiales; Tilletiaceae
Also listed under: 1 other name
Rfam family: tRNA
About the family: Transfer RNA (tRNA) molecules are approximately 80 nucleotides in length.
Source: Rfam by way of RNAcentral
GUCGUUGUACCGAAGUGGUUAACGGGAUGGUCUCGAAUGUAGACAUGGCAACCAUUGGACUCUGUCCGCGCAGGUUCGAAUCCUGUCGACGACG